RNAcentral lists this ribosomal RNA (781 nucleotides) under Pseudomigadops n. sp. MSL2007. Its description in RNAcentral is "partial 16S ribosomal RNA". The stretch from base 1 to 570 matches the Rfam family "Bacterial large subunit ribosomal RNA", at positions 1845 to 2925 of the family's 2925-position model. The record is from RNAcentral. Lineage: Eukaryota; Metazoa; Arthropoda; Insecta; Coleoptera; Carabidae.
AUUUAAAGUCUAGCCUGCCCACUGAAAUUAAUUUUAAUGGCCGCAGUAUUUUGACUGUGCAAAGGUAGCAUAAUCAUUAGUUUUUUAAUUGAAAGCUUGUAUGAAAGGUUGGACGAGGUAAAAUCUGUCUCUAUUUAAUUUAUUUUAGAAUUUAAUUUUUAAGUUAAAAAGCUUAAAUUUUAUUAAAAGACGAGAAGACCCUAUAGAUCUUUAUAAUUUUUUUUAUAAAUUUAAUUAUGAAUUAUUUAGAAUUUAUAAUAUAAAUUAUUUUAUUGGGGUAAUAAAAAGAUUAAAAUAAUUCUUUUUUAUUUUUAACAUUAAUUUAUGAAUUUAAUGAUCCAAUUUUAUUGAUUAUAAGAUUAAGUUACCUUAGGGAUAACAGCGUAAUUUUUUUAGAGAGUUCAUAUCGAUAAAAAAGUUUGCGACCUCGAUGUUGGAUUAAAGAUUAGUUUAGGUGUAGAAGUUUAAAUUUUUGGUCUGUUCGACCAUUAAAUCUUUACAUGAUCUGAGUUCAGACCGGCGUAAGCCAGGUCGGUUUCUAUCUUUAAUAAUUUUAAAAUAUUUUAGUACGAAAGGACCAAAUAUUUAAUAUAUUUAUAUUUUAUUUUUUGAAUAUUAUUAAAUUGUUUUGGCAGAUUAGUGUAAUGAAUUUAGAAUUCAUAAAUGUAAUUAUUUUUACAAACAAUACUUGUUUUAUAUAGAUUUAAUUUUUUCUUUAAUUUGUAUAUUUUUAUUAAUUAUUUGUGUUUUAGUUGGGGUAGCAUUUUUAACUUUAUUAGAG